UACGGGGGGGGCAAGCGUUGUUCGGAAUUACUGGGCGUAAAGGGCUCGUAGGCGGCCAACUAAGUCAGACGUGAAAUCCCUCGGCUUAACCGGGGAACUGCAUCUGAUACUGGAUGGCUUGAGUUCGGGAGAGGGAUGCGGAAUUCCAGGUGUAGCGGUGAAAUGCGUAGAUAUCUGGAGGAACACCGGUGGCGAAGGCGGCAUCCUGGACCGACACUGACGCUGAGGAGCGAAAGCCAGGGGGGCAAACGGG
RNAcentral lists this ribosomal RNA (253 nucleotides) under uncultured bacterium. RNAcentral describes it as "partial 16S ribosomal RNA". It matches the Rfam family "Bacterial small subunit ribosomal RNA", at positions 524 to 776 of the family's 1533-position model. The record is from RNAcentral.